CGGGUGAGUAAUGCAUAGAUAAUGUGCCCCUUAGUUCGGGAUAGCCACUGGAAACGGUGAUUAAUACCGGAUACUCCUUCUUGUUAUAAGACAAGUCGGGAAAGUUUUUCGCUAAGGGAUCAGUCUAUGUUCCAUCAGCUUGUUGGUGAGGUAAUGGCUCACCAAGGCUAUGACGGAUAUCUGGUUUGAGAGGAUGAUCAGACACACUGGAACUGAGACACGGUCCAGACUCCUACGGGAGGCAGCAGUGAGGAAUAUUGCACAAUGGAGGAAACUCUGAUGCAGCAACGCCGCGUGGAGGAUGACGCAUUUCGGUGUGUAAACUCCUUUUAUUAGGGAAGAUAAUGACGGUACCUAAUGAAUAAGCACCGGCUAACUCCGUGCCAGCAGCCGCGGUAAUACGGAGGGUGCAAGCGUUACUCGGAAUCACUGGGCGUAAAGGGUGCGUAGGCUGGCUUUUAAGUCAGAUGUGAAAUCCAAUGGCUCAACCAUUGAACUGCAUUUGAAACUGAAAGCCUAGAGUUCAGAAGGGGCAGAUGGAAUUAGUGGUGUAGGGGUAAAAUCCGUAGAUAUCACUAGGAAUAUCAAAAGCGAAGGCGAUCUGCUGGGA
Molecule: ribosomal RNA, 610 nt
Filed under: uncultured bacterium
Lineage: Bacteria
Description: bacterial SSU rRNA
Rfam family: Bacterial small subunit ribosomal RNA
Source: RNAcentral